CCGAAGCUCCGGACCUCUAACCUGGUCCUGUCGGCGACGUCUACCUCUACCUCUUGGCAUUGUUAUAACUAUUAUAAUCAUAAAUACAGAUUAGAUACAUACAUCAAGUCUUUAAAGUCCAGAUCAUAUUUAAACAUGUAUGAAUUUAACAUAUGAUAAAUUACUCAAAUUUAAAUAAAUUGAAAUACCAAAAUGUUUACACUGCGUAGUCUUAACUGAACUUUUGAUACAUUUUUAUGCAUCAAAUCAAAUGAAGUUGAUUAUAAAAACAUAACUCAAAACAGCUACGAUGUGUGCUUUCUUAACAAAAUAAACAUCGUUUUAAAAACGUUUGAUAGCUUCUAUUACCAAGCUUAACUUAAUUAAACUAUGUUUCCGCAAAUUAAACACACAUGUAUAAAUCAUGUAACGUUUAAUAAAAUUAAACUUUUCCGGUCAUGUUAAUGAUAACACGGCAUACACAACAUACAUUGUAAUUACCUGUUCAAAGUGUAUCGCUUAUUACAUUUAAAACAAAA
RNAcentral lists this long non-coding RNA (518 nucleotides) under Mytilus galloprovincialis (Mediterranean mussel). The record is from RNAcentral. Lineage: Eukaryota; Metazoa; Mollusca; Bivalvia; Mytilida; Mytilidae.